UACAGAGGGUGCGAGCGUUGUCCGGAAUCACUGGGCGUAAAGGGCGCGUAGGCGGUGACUUAAGCGUGUGGUGAAAGCUCGGGGCUCAACCCCGAGUCGGCCGUGCGAACUGGGUCACUGGAGCAGAUCAGAGGCAGGCGGAAUUCCGGGUGUAGCGGUGGAAUGCGUAGAGAUCCGGAGGAAUACCGGUGGCGAAGGCGGCAUCCUGGACCGGCAUUGACGCUGAGGAGCGAAAGCCAGGGGAGCAAACGGG
RNAcentral lists this ribosomal RNA (253 nucleotides) under uncultured bacterium. RNAcentral describes it as "partial 16S ribosomal RNA". It matches the Rfam family "Bacterial small subunit ribosomal RNA", at positions 524 to 776 of the family's 1533-position model. The record is from RNAcentral.